AUAUAUCUAUAAUAAAACGUUUAAUUAAAAUAAAAAAAACUUUUGCUAUCGUAAAAAGAGAAAAAUAAAAAUUUUGAGGUAAAACUAAAUAAAAAAUCAAGAGGCUGAAUCCCUAAAUUCCAAAUUGAUGAACAAAAAUAACAUUCACCUAAAUCCCUAAAUUCCCAAAUUCCAAAUCCCUAUUAGUAGAGAAGAGGCUAAAGCCCUAAAUUCCAAAAUUCCAAAAUUCUAAAAUUCCAAAUCCUAAAUUCCAAACAAGAGGCUAAAUUCCUAAAUUCCAAAUUGAUGAACAAUAACAUUCGUCGAAAAGACAUACCAGUGAACGAAACAUUAGAUCGGAGCAUUCACGUGUUAUCAAACAGACAGAAGAAAGCUAUACCAAUUUCUGAUCGAGAUCGGAGCAUUCACGUGUUGUCAAACAGUCAAAAGAACUCUAUACAUGAAGAACAAAGAAGAUACUAAGUCCCAGCAAAUCAAAAUCCAAUUUUAAAAUCAAUUUAAAGUAACAAAAAUCUAUUACCAUUCGUCCUUACUUGCUUAAACCCGAGAAGAAUCACUCCAUACAAGUCUGUGACACGCAAAAAUCAGAAAAACAGAGUCACACAACAAUGAAAAGAGAAUCGAUGAACCCUAGAAGACCCUAAUGUAUGGAAUUACAAAUCAUCGAUGACAGAAUGAAACAGAAAUAGAUACAAUUGAAAGAGAGAGAACGACUAUAACUAAGUAACCUGAUCGUAGAUAGAUGGCUCUCUCAGGUUGAGAUUGGUGAUCCUUUAGUCGAUCGGAAUCAUACGUGUGAUGAAAGAAUGAAGACGAAAAACAACAAGGGUAAGAGAUUGUAGUUUGCAAACAAUCUUAAUAUGGGGGAGAAACUCUCGUCUCCGUAUAUGUAAAUAACAGGAGCGUGGAUAAAAAAAAU
Molecule: small RNA, 919 nt
Filed under: Arabidopsis thaliana (thale cress)
Lineage: Eukaryota; Viridiplantae; Streptophyta; Magnoliopsida; Brassicales; Brassicaceae
Description: ATSL075550
Source: RNAcentral